This 236-nucleotide unclassified non-coding RNA is filed under the name Hevea brasiliensis (rubber tree). The record is from RNAcentral. Lineage: Eukaryota; Viridiplantae; Streptophyta; Magnoliopsida; Malpighiales; Euphorbiaceae.
CCAGCAGCACUCCCAAGGAGCCAGGGUAGAAAUAGACUCCAUUUUCUUGACAAUUGAAGGUCCCAUUUCAAAAUUGACAGAGAGAGAGAACGUAUAGGGAUAAAACAACAAACACAUGAAGGGCUUAAUAGUUGCAAAGAAUCAACUCCUUGAGAAAGUCCCCGGAGAUGAGUAGGAGCAGAGACCAAUAAAACAGCAGUAGCUUGGGAGUGUUUUAAGGAUGUAUGAUUCUUGGG